AGAAAGGAAUAGCCUCCUUUCACUCUGAGAAAUGAUACCCAUUUGUGUCAGUGAGAGUUAGGGGAGAGGUGCAUUGAGACAGAGCAGCAGGAGUCUGGCUGGGCUAGCUUUUAUCUUGUGCUCCCUGGAACCCUGACUGGAUGAUUUCUGAAGUCGAGCUGGAGCCCAUCUAGAGGGAAGGUGAAACUUCUCCUCAGCAUGCAGGGCCUCCUGCACCCACACUGCCACAGCCACCGCAUUACCAGCUCCUGCCAGUCUGAGGAGCAAGAGGCUGGCAUGAAGAAUCAGUUCCAUUCUUUCCUCCCUAAAUUUAGAAAAAGCCUGUUUUGCAAAGCUUUCUUCAGUGUUUCAAGACAAAAAAAAAAAAAUUAAGCAGUUGCACAACAUGCAUAUCUUCUCCUGGCCUGCAGCUCCAGCGAUUUUAUUAACAUCUUUGCUUCUUAUGCACCUUAAAUCCACAGGAUAUGCAGCUGGGAGCGAGUGUCCAGCCAACAGCCCGUGUCUCAGGCCCUGCCAGGGGAUGAAUCAAUUAGCAAGAGAAGCAAUGAUGCAAAUGCUCCGGGGUCACUUGGGAUGCUGUUUGCCUUUUUGAUAGAGAAAGCACACCAUAAAUAACAUCACACCUCAGGAAAUCAUUCCAGGAGGCCCCGAUGCUGGCAGGGCUGCUGCCAGGGACGGAAGGAAUCGUUUGCUCAUUGUGUGUAUUUCCCCCAGCUCAGUCAAUGGGAGAUUUGUAGUAAAAUCAAAGUAUUUAAAAGGAGGACAGUAUGUGGUAACAGAGGCAUGUUUAGCAAUUUUUUUAGUACCAGAACCUGUGAUUUAUGACCCAGAGUUACAGCCAACUUUAUUACAAAAAUGACUUCACCCAUAAUAACCUUAUUCAGGGCCCUCUGAUGAAUGAUGUAGUAUCCAACAGCAUUAUAAUCUAGUAAAUAUUCAAACACAAUUCCCGCCUCCGCCUCAUUUCCAACCAACCCCUCAGAAGCAGGCUUCCCCCUUUACCUGCUGGGAGAAGUGGGGUCCUGGGUAAGGCUUUGUGCUCUGUCUGUGGGAGUUUGCCUGGAUCAGGCAUUUAUACUAAGCCAGGACAGAAAGUGACCUCCUGGGGUCUCAGUCAUAUCUUGUCCAACCUUGUCCCCUGAGGAGUAAUGAGCAGAAGACACCCACUCACCCUUCAUUUCCUCUCUGUGCUGAAACUUAUUUCCUCCCUGCAUUCCCCCACUCCUCCAGAGCUCAGAUCCCCACCACCUGAAAGGAGCUCCAGUAAGCUCCCUGACAUUUUUAAUUGCCAUGGUAACUGAGGGCUGCACUAAAACCGCCAGGGCUGGGUGUCCAAGCAGGGUCCCCUGGGCGUACCGGGAUCUAGAAACUAGCCCUCCAUCUUAUUAAACUCCGGUGUCAGUUCCUAGCAAUUGUUUUAAAUUUACACCCUCAGAGUGGCUUAGUGGGAUUACAUGUCCAUUUGCAUUAAAACAGUUUUCUGUCAUUAAACUGCCAUACAAUAAGCUUCCUUGGGACAAAUUAAUGAGCUCUAAAUAUCAUCAAGUAGAAGUUCACUUCAAGACAGGCAACAAGGAGGGGGGUCGGAAGGAAGUGGCUGCUCAGAAUCUCAUGGCCCAGGAGAACGAUAAGUGCCAACUAAAGAAGGGUCUUGUCCUGUUUCUUCACUGCACGAUAAGUGGUCCUGAUUUAGAGCUGAAUGGGGAGAUUUGGCAAUAUUCUCCCUGUUCGCCAAAAUCCUAUAGCUCAUCUUCUAUUCCUUCUUCCAAAUAUGACUUUACCCUUGACUUUGCUGAAAUUUGCUGAUGAAACACUGACCUCUUGUCUCAGUGACAAUGUCUCAGCCUCAUUUUCUUUGUCCUGUAGUUUCUCUGUCCUUGAGGAACUUGCGUGCAUCCACGUGGCCUGGGA
RNAcentral lists this long non-coding RNA (1911 nucleotides) under Homo sapiens (human). Its description in RNAcentral is "non-protein coding LINC01117:17". The record is from RNAcentral. Lineage: Eukaryota; Metazoa; Chordata; Mammalia; Primates; Hominidae.